GAUGAACGCUGGCGGCGUGCCUAAUACAUGCAAGUCGAGCGAACGGACGAGAAGCUUGCUUUUCUGAUGUUAGCGGCGGACGGGUGAGUAACACGUGGAUAACCUACCUAUAAGACUGGGAUAACUUCGGGAAACCGGAGCUAAUACCGGAUAAUAUUUUGAACCGCAUUGUUCAAAAGUGAAAGACGGUCUUGCUGUCACUUAUAGAUGGAUCCGCGCUGCAUUAGCUAGUUGGUAAGGUAACGGCUUACCAAGGCAACGAUGCAUAGCCGACCUGAGAGGGUGAUCGGCCACACUGGAACUGAGACACGGUCCAGACUCCUACGGGAGGCAGCAGUCGGGAAUCUUCCGCAAUGGGCGAAAGCCUGACGGAGCAACGCCGCGUGAGUGAUGAAGGUCUUCGGAUCGUAAAACUCUGUUAUUAGGGAAGAACAUAUGUGUAAGUAACUGUGCACAUCUUGACGGUACCUAAUCAGAAAGCCACGGCUAACUACGUG
RNAcentral lists this ribosomal RNA (497 nucleotides) under uncultured bacterium. RNAcentral's name for it is "partial 16S ribosomal RNA". It matches the Rfam family "Bacterial small subunit ribosomal RNA", at positions 28 to 507 of the family's 1533-position model. The record is from RNAcentral.